This 3067-nucleotide long non-coding RNA is filed under the name Phascolarctos cinereus (koala). RNAcentral's name for it is "lncRNA (ENSPCIG00000034885.1)". Lineage: Eukaryota; Metazoa; Chordata; Mammalia; Diprotodontia; Phascolarctidae. The record is from RNAcentral.
AAAAAAUAAAAAAACAAAUACAACCUCCCACUGCUAAAGUAGUUCCCAGAGUCUGUGCGCUGGGGGCUCAGAAUUUGUUCAGGUGUUAUACAUUUAGUUAAUAAUGCCAGUACACACAACAAAAUGCACAUGUGAAAGUUAUGGUUUAAUUGGAAAGCAUGUAGCAUUACUUAACUAGGCCUCCUGGGUUAUGGUAAGAGAAGCACCAUGUGUGGCUUAGUUUUUUUAAAAAUCGUAAUUAAAAAAAGAGCUAUAGCAAAGUUCAGCCAACUCUCAGAGUCAAUGCUUGGCCUUUCCAGUGGGCGCCAACUAUAUCUUUGAUAAUUAAAUAGAAAACUGGUCUCCCUGCAGCACUAAUGCAGUCACACACUGUUCUCAAGAGAACUUCCUUACCACUCAGCAGCUAUUUGAUUUACAAACUCUUCCGGGUGCAUUUAAUCUAAUUCAUGUUUCUUUUGGCUCUCAGCCAACUUUUUUUUUACCCACAAACUUGAACAGAUACAUUUUCUACCUAUUUAGAAAUGACCUUCUGUUCACCAACAAAAACCUAAUUAAACAAUGGUUCAAUAUGAAAGCUCAGAAGUGGAGCAACAAUCUUGGUCUCCAUUGUUGCCAUCAGCUUAUUGGGUUGGAAUCGCUCGCUAAGGCAUGACUGUUUUUGAGAUAUUUACCACCUGUGGAAUAGGACUUUUAUCAGCAGUAUUGGUGAGUUCUGUUAUCUCAUUAUUUCAUGGCACUGCCCCCUUGCCAUUCUCUUGAUUCCUCUUCUCAGGAAUAUUCCAAGAAAUGUCUCUCAUGAUCAAAACCAGCAUUGAUUAGAAUAACAGAGUGGAGGCUUGGAGUGAUGUUUCCCAUUUUCUCCCCUCUUCUCAAGGUGAUAGAGUCUAUAUCUCAUUUCAAUAAGUGAAACUGAUGUGUCUCAAUUUCCUGGAAUAAGAAUGAGGGACCUACUAAAUGCAUUUCUGGAAAUAGGAAAUGCAUCUUUCGAGAACUAGAUGCAGUCUUAGUGAAUCCCACAUUUGGACAGCAAUUUUAACCUAGCCAACCCUUUCUAAUUUGGGGGGGAAAUUCUUUAUUAGGUAGUUGUUCUAAAUACAACUUGUGGACCUAUGAACUUCCUCAAGUAUCUCUGGUUUGGUAAGGAACAAAAAUUGAAAAAAAAAACUAUAAAGUGGUAGAUGAUUAUUAGAAGAUGACAGAUGUGGACUUUUUUUUCCCGUUCUGUUAGUAAGAAAUUAUACUGAUAUUCAUUUACUUUCAGCAGUUUUCUAUAGCCUUCACAUAUAUCAGGAGUGCUGUUCCUUUUGCCUAAAGAUUUCAAAAAGUUCUCUAACAUUCACAGACUUUCACAAGACUCCUGAUGUAAAUAAGAGCAAAUCUAUUAAAUAGAUAUGAGGACAGCUAGGUGGCACAGUGGAUAAAGUGCCUGGCCUAGAUUCAGGAGAAUCUGAGUUCAAAUUUGACCUCAGAUAUUUAUUAGCUGUGUGACUCUGGGAAAAUCACUUUCCCAGUUUGCCUUCGUUUCCUCAUCUGUAAAGUGAGUUGGAGGAGGAAAUUGCAAACCACUCCAGUUAUCUUUGCCAACAAAACCUCAGAGACAACUGAACAGCAACAGCAAAUUAGAUAUAUGUAUAGAUAUGUAUGCCAAGGUACAAAGCAGGGGCUGGGAAACAGAUUUAGCCUAGGCACUCUGAGGUCAUUUAGGUCAGUCACCUCAUUUCCUUUUUUUUAAAAAAUUUUAUUAAUUUAUUUUGAUUUAUCAAAAAUCAAUUCCAUAUGCUUUUAAGUUGAAAUUUUUUCUCCCCCUUCCUCCCCCCCCACCCUCCCCAAGAUGGCAUACAAUCUGAUAUAGGCUUUACAUUUACAUACCCAUUAAACAUAUUUUUACAUUAGUGAAGUUGUAAGUAAAAAUUAAAACCAAUAGGAGGGACCAUCAGAAACAUGAAACAAAACUCAACAGAAGGUAAAAAUAAGUGAUAGCGAUUCGACUUCCAUAGUUCUUUCUUUGGAUGGGGAAAGCAUUUUCCAUCCCGAGGCCUCUGGAGAUGUCUUAGAUCUUUGUAAUGCUGAGAAGGGUUCAGUUUAACAAUCUUAGUCAUUGCAUAACGUGGCUAUUAUUGUGUACAAAGUCCGCUUGGUUCUGCUUACUUCACUCAGCAUCAGACCAUAUAAGUCUUUCCAGGUUUUUCUGAAGUCAGCCUGUUCAUCAUUUAUUAUAGCACAAUAGUAUUCCAUUACAUUCAUAUACCACAACUUGCUCAGCCAUUCCCCAGUUGAUGGGCAUCCUCUCAGUUCCCAAUUCUUUGCCAUCACAAAAAGAGCUGCUAUGAAUAUUUUUGUACAUGUGGGUCCUUUUCCCAUUUGUUUGAACUCUUUGGGAUAUAGCCCUAAAAGUGCUAUUGCUGGAUCAAAGGGUAUACACAUUUUUGUAGCCCUUUGGGCAUAAUUCUAAAUUGUUCUCCAAAAUGGUUGGAUCAUUUCUCAACUCCACCAACAAUGUAUUAGAGUCACCUCAUUUCCAAGGUGAGAAACUAAAACCCAGAGUUGUUAAGUAAUUUGACCAAAGUCACAUGGGUAGUCAAGAAUUGAACUAGGAUUUAAACUGUGUUCCUAUGACUCCAAAUCCAGCAUUCCUUUCAUUGUACUACAAUGAGUGCUUACUUAGAUUGAUCACUUAAAAAGGAAGAAAAACAUCGGAUUCUUUCAAUCCAUUUCCCUAAUUUAACCAUAAAGUCCUUUCAAACACAUGCAUCUACAAAACUGGUUGAUUUGCAAUUGAUCUCAAACAUGUUCCAUCUUUCAAGGCUCAACUCAAAUGAUAUAUGCUGAAUGAAGUGUUUUGUUUUGCUCCUCAUUCAAAGUAAUCUUGUCCUCCUCUGAACAUAACAGGUUUUAAAGCUCUCUUAUUUUUCUGCACUAAAUUUUGCAUCAUAAUUAUUUGUGUAUAUUUCAUCUCACAUAAAUAAGACAUGGGAUUCAUUGUACAAGCACAGCUCAGGUUGGAAGAAAUGGGAAGAAAGAAAGAAAUCCCAAUAAAAGAAGGUGUUUAAAGUGAAAUUAUCCCUUC